Molecule: ribosomal RNA, 497 nt
Filed under: uncultured bacterium
Lineage: Bacteria
Description: partial 16S ribosomal RNA
Rfam family: Bacterial small subunit ribosomal RNA
Source: RNAcentral
GAUGAACGCUGGCGGCGUGCUUAAUACAUGCAAGUCGAGCGAACAGACGAGGAUCUUGCUCCUCUGACGUUAGCGGCGGACGGGUGAGUAACACGUGGAUAACCCACCUAUAAGACUGGGAUAACUUCGGGAAACCGGAUCUAAUACCGGAUAACAUGGUGAACCGCAUGGUUCAACAGUGAAAGACGGUCUUGCUGUCACUUAUAGAUGGUUCCACGCCGGAUUAGCUAGUUGGUAAGGUAACGGCGUACCAAGGCAACGAUGCGUAGCCGACCUGAGAGUGUGAUCGGCCACACUGGAACUGAGACACGGUCCAGACUCCUACGGGAGGCAGCAGUAGGGAAUCUUCCGCAAUGGGCGAAAGCCUGACGGAGCAACGCCGCGUGAGUGAUGAAGGCCUUCGGAUCGUAAACCUCUGUUAUUAGGGAAGAACAAAUGUGUAAGUAAAUAUGCACGUCUUGACGGUACCUGAUCAGAAAGCCACGGCUAACUACGUG